CAAUAGCGUAUAUUUAAGUUGCUGCAGUUAAAAAGCUCGUAGUUGGAUUUCGGGUGGGAAUGGCCGGUCCGCCGUUUCGGUGUGCACUUGCUACGCCCACCUUGCUGCCGGGGACGUGCUCUUGAGUUCACGCUCGGGACACGGAGUCGGCGAGGUUACUUUGAGUAAAUUAGAGUGUUCAAAGCAGGCCUACGCUCUGAAUACAUUAGCAUGGAAUAACACGAUAGGACUCUGGCCUAUCUUGUUGGUCUGUAGGACCGGAGUAAUGAUUAAGAGGGACAGUCGGGGGCAUUCGUAUUCCGUUGUCAGAGGUGAAAUUCUUGGAUUUACGGAAGACGAACAUCUGCGAAAGCAUUUGCCAAGGAUGUUUUCAUUGA
RNAcentral lists this ribosomal RNA (377 nucleotides) under uncultured eukaryote. RNAcentral describes it as "partial 18S ribosomal RNA". It matches the Rfam family "Eukaryotic small subunit ribosomal RNA", at positions 592 to 976 of the family's 1831-position model. The record is from RNAcentral.